This 699-nucleotide ribosomal RNA is filed under the name Shigella dysenteriae. Its description in RNAcentral is "bacterial SSU rRNA". It matches the Rfam family "Bacterial small subunit ribosomal RNA", at positions 70 to 759 of the family's 1533-position model. The record is from RNAcentral. Lineage: Bacteria; Pseudomonadati; Pseudomonadota; Gammaproteobacteria; Enterobacterales; Enterobacteriaceae.
UACAGAAAGCAGCUUGCUGCUUUGCUGACGAGUGGCGGACGGGUGAGUAAUGUCUGGGAAACUGCCUGAUGGAGGGGGAUAACUACUGGAAACGGUAGCUAAUACCGCAUAACGUCGCAAGACCAAAGAGGGGGACCUUCGGGCCUCUUGCCAUCGGAUGUGCCCAGAUGGGAUUAGCUAGUAGGUGGGGUAACGGCUCACCUAGGCGACGAUCCCUAGCUGGUCUGAGAGGAUGACCAGCCACACUGGAACUGAGACACGGUCCAGACUCCUACGGGAGGCAGCAGUGGGGAAUAUUGCACAAUGGGCGCAAGCCUGAUGCAGCCAUGCCGCGUGUAUGAAGAAGGCCUUCGGGUUGUAAAGUACUUUCAGCGGGGAGGAAGGGAGUAAAGUUAAUACCUUUGCUCAUUGACGUUACCCGCAGAAGAAGCACCGGCUAACUCCGUGCCAGCAGCCGCGGUAAUACGGAGGGUGCAAGCGUUAAUCGGAAUUACUGGGCGUAAAGCGCACGCAGGCGGUUUGUUAAGUCAGAUGUGAAAUCCCCGGGCUCAACCUGGGAACUGCAUCUGAUACUGGCAAGCUUGAGUCUCGUAGAGGGGGGUAGAAUUCCAGGUGUAGCGGUGAAAUGCGUAGAGAUCUGGAGGAAUACCGGUGGCGAAGGCGGCCCCCUGGACGAAGACUGACGCUCAGGUGCGAAAG